GGCACCAUGGUUGCUCUGGCGUGCUGCUGGAAGAAAAGGAGGGAGGACGAGGGAGAGGGAGAGAGAAAACUGGGAGGAAGGAGAGAAACGAGGGUAGGCACGGGCUCCCAGGGGGAGAUGGACGAGGACGAGGAUGGUCUGGUGCGCUGCUGGUGCAGGGAGGGCAGCAGCUGCUAAUUUCAUGUGGAGGACACGCAGGGGCGGACGGCGAGCGAAUUGAAUCUGGACAUUCACCCAGGGAAGCAACAUAUAUCUUCUGAUCUUUGUCUUGCCUCCGAUGCAAUUUCAGUUUGUCCAGUAGUGCUCUUGACAAAUUUCUAGAAUGAAGAAUGAAAUACUUGGAGAUAGGCCACCAAUUCGGUGUUGAACUCAGGUUUACACAUUGGUGCACAUGAUGUGUCAAUCAAACAUACUAUAGCCCUCAUAUAAUGGCUACUGCUGUUUGCAAAGUAAGAAUCGAAUGAUGCAAAGAGAUUUAUGCUGUAGAAGAACUUACAAGGUAGUUUCUGAAGCCCUUUCAUUGGAAUUUGACGAAAUUCACAACCACAUAGGUCACACACAAUUUAAGCCUCCAUGGUAUUAAAUAUGCCAUGUCUGUCGGUCCUCUGUUUAGAAAUGUUUUAG
Triticum dicoccoides is the source of this 624-nucleotide long non-coding RNA. RefSeq lists it as uncharacterized. The transcript has 3 exons. NCBI's taxonomy places the organism in Eukaryota, Viridiplantae, Streptophyta, Magnoliopsida, Poales, Poaceae. The record is from RefSeq and is a predicted model, not a curated record.